This 26-nucleotide non-coding RNA is filed under the name Homo sapiens (human). The record is from RNAcentral. Lineage: Eukaryota; Metazoa; Chordata; Mammalia; Primates; Hominidae.
UGAAUGGACUAAGACACGUACAUGUC